Regulatory RNA element from Rhodococcus rhodnii LMG 5362, 126 nucleotides. It matches the Rfam family "atpB RNA". NCBI's taxonomy places the organism in Bacteria, Bacillati, Actinomycetota, Actinomycetes, Mycobacteriales, Nocardiaceae. The record is from Rfam.
CUGACGAUUCCGCGAACGGACCUCGUCGGCCGGAAGAUCGUCCGAUCGAACCACCACUGUCCGAUCGAACCGCAGGCCGACUUCGACUGCGGACCGACUACGGGAGAGACCGCUGAGCGUCACACU